Molecule: long non-coding RNA, 353 nt
Filed under: Anser brachyrhynchus (Pink-footed goose)
Lineage: Eukaryota; Metazoa; Chordata; Aves; Anseriformes; Anatidae
Description: lncRNA (ENSABRG00000006209.1)
Source: RNAcentral
GACAUCCCAUGCAGAGGAUUUCCUGCUUUCAUCAUAGUUGUGGUGAUGCAAUCCAUCCGUUGUCAUAACAGAUAUUUCCUAGAUCCAUGAUGCAGUCAGACCUGUUUCUAAUGAAUCAGACUUAUUGAGACCAGGACACAACAACCCAUUCCCAGGCUACCUGCUGUGCUCUGAUAGACCACCAUCCACCUGCAGACUACAAGUUCCUGUACCUCCCAGAAACAAGUCUCUAAUCCAUUUCUACAUCUCUGAAAGCAAUAUUGAAGAGGAUUAGAAAGAGUGAACGGGUAACAAAGACUGAUUGCACAGAUCAGCAAAUUUGAUUCUCCAUAUAAGGCUGAUAACAUUUAAAG